GGGAUCAAAUCACGCUGAAAACUCCGGUUCUCGUUCGAUCACCGAAGUUAAGCAUCGUAGAGCCAGGUCAGUACUUAGAUGGGGGACCGCUUGGGAACACCUGGUACUGUAAGC
Molecule: ribosomal RNA, 114 nt
Filed under: Acanthosepion pharaonis
Lineage: Eukaryota; Metazoa; Mollusca; Cephalopoda; Sepiida; Sepiidae
Source: RNAcentral